This 631-nucleotide ribosomal RNA is filed under the name uncultured bacterium. Its description in RNAcentral is "bacterial SSU rRNA". It matches the Rfam family "Bacterial small subunit ribosomal RNA", at positions 79 to 706 of the family's 1533-position model. The record is from RNAcentral.
GCUAAUUCGCUGACGAGCGGCGGACGGGUGAGUAAUGCCUGGGAAUAUGCCUUAGUGUGGGGGAUAACUAUUGGAAACGAUAGCUAAUACCGCAUAACGUCUUCGGACCAAAGAGGGGGACCUUCGGGCCUCUCGCGCUAAGAUUAGCCCAGGUGGGAUUAGCUAGUUGGUGAGGUAAAGGCUCACCAAGGCAACGAUCCCUAGCUGGUCUGAGAGGAUGAUCAGCCACACUGGAACUGAGACACGGUCCAGACUCCUACGGGAGGCAGCAGUGGGGAAUAUUGCACAAUGGGGGAAACCCUGAUGCAGCCAUGCCGCGUGUAUGAAGAAGGCCUUCGGGUUGUAAAGUACUUUCAGUCGUGAGGAAGGGUAUGUAGUUAAUAGCUGCAUGCCUUGACGUUAGCGACAGAAGAAGCACCGGCUAACUCCGUGCCAGCAGCCGCGGUAAUACGGAGGGUGCGAGCGUUAAUCGGAAUUACUGGGCGUAAAGCGCAUGCAGGCGGUCUGUUAAGCAAGAUGUGAAAGCCCGGGGCUCAACCUCGGAACCGCAUUUUGAACUGGCAGACUAGAGUCUUGUAGAGGGGGGUAGAAUUUCAGGUGUAGCGGUGAAAUGCGUAGAGAUCUGAAGGAA